This is a small nuclear RNA of Pipistrellus kuhlii (Kuhl's pipistrelle), 112 nucleotides long. NCBI's taxonomy places the organism in Eukaryota, Metazoa, Chordata, Mammalia, Chiroptera, Vespertilionidae. The record is from RefSeq and is a predicted model, not a curated record.
GUGCUUCCUUCAGCAGCACAUAUACUAUUGUAAAAUCGGAACAAUAUAGAGAAGAUUAACAAGCCCCCUGUAAUAAGAUGAAAUUUGAGUUCAUGAAGAGUUCCAUGUUUUU